RNAcentral lists this ribosomal RNA (465 nucleotides) under Vreelandella stevensii. Its description in RNAcentral is "partial 16S ribosomal RNA". It matches the Rfam family "Bacterial small subunit ribosomal RNA", at positions 338 to 795 of the family's 1533-position model. The record is from RNAcentral. Lineage: Bacteria; Pseudomonadati; Pseudomonadota; Gammaproteobacteria; Oceanospirillales; Halomonadaceae.
CCUACGAGCGGCAGCAGUGGGGAAUAUUGGACAAUGGGGGCAACCCUGAUCCAGCCAUGCCGCGUGUGUGAAGAAGGCCCUCGGGUUGUAAAGCACUUUCAGUGAGGAAGAACGCCUGGUGGUUAAUACCCAUCAGGAAAGACAUCACUCACAGAAGAAGCACCGGCUAACUCCGUGCCAGCAGCCGCGGUAAUACGGAGGGUGCGAGCGUUAAUCGGAAUUACUGGGCGUAAAGCGCGCGUAGGUGGCUUGAUAAGCCGGUUGUGAAAGCCCCGGGCUCAACCUGGGAACGGCAUCCGGAACUGUCAAGCUAGAGUGCAGGAGAGGAAGGUAGAAUUCCCGGUGUAGCGGUGAAAUGCGUAGAGAUCGGGAGGAAUACCAGUGGCGAAGGCGGCCUUCUGGACUGACACUGACACUGAGGUGCGAAAGCGUGGGUAGCAAACAGGAUUAGAUACCCGAGUAGUC